AUUGAACGCUGGCGGCAGGCCAAACACAUGCAAGUCGAACGGUAACAGGAAGCAGCUUGCUGCUUCGCUGACGAGUGGCGGACGGGUGAGUCAUGUCUGGGAAACUGCCUGAUGGAGGGGGAUAACUACUGGAAACGGUAGCUAAUACCGCAUAACAUCGCAAGACCAAAGAGGGGGACCUUAGGGCCUCUUGCCAUCGGAUGUGCCCAGAUGGGAUUAGCUAGUAGGUGGGGUAACGGCUCACCUAGGCGACGAUCCCUAGCUGGUCUGAGAGGAUGACCAGCCACACUGGAACUGAGACACGGUCCAGACUCCUACGGGAGGCAGCAGUGGGGAAUAUUGCACAAUGGGCGCAAGCCUGAUGCAGCCAUGCCGCGUGUAUGAAGAAGGCCUUCGGGUUGUAAAGUACGUUCAGCGGGGAGGAAGGGAGUAAAGUUAAUACCUUUGCUCAUUGACGGUACCCGCAGAAGAAGCACCGGCUAACUCCGUG
RNAcentral lists this ribosomal RNA (490 nucleotides) under uncultured bacterium. RNAcentral describes it as "partial 16S ribosomal RNA". It matches the Rfam family "Bacterial small subunit ribosomal RNA", at positions 30 to 507 of the family's 1533-position model. The record is from RNAcentral.